This 468-nucleotide ribosomal RNA is filed under the name uncultured bacterium. RNAcentral describes it as "partial 16S ribosomal RNA". It matches the Rfam family "Bacterial small subunit ribosomal RNA", at positions 28 to 507 of the family's 1533-position model. The record is from RNAcentral.
GACGAACGCUGGCGGCGUGCUUAACACAUGCAAGUCGAACGGAAAGGCCCUGCGUUUGUUGGUUGCUCGAGUGGCGAACGGGGGAGUAACACGUGAGUAACCUGCCCUUGACUGUGUGAGAACUUCAGGAAACUGGGGCUAAUACCGGAGAGAAGCUCCUGCUGCGCGUUGUUGGAUGGUAAGUGUCGGCGGUGGGGGAUGGACUCGCUGGUUAUCAGCUUGUUGGUGGGGUAGGGGUUUACCAAGGCUUUGACGGGUAGCCGGCCUGAGAGGGUUGACGGGGACCUUGGGACUGCGAUAGGGAGCAGACUGGUACGGGAGGCAGCAGUGGGGAAUAUUGCAGAACGGGGGGAAGUCAGAUGUAGAAACCCCGCGUGCGGGAUACUGGCUUUCGGGUUGUAAACAGAUUUCGAAUGUGCUGAAGAGUGAGUGACGGUAACGGGUAAAGAAGCAACGGCUAACUACGUG